Ictidomys tridecemlineatus (thirteen-lined ground squirrel) is the source of this 72-nucleotide non-coding RNA. The record is from Rfam. Lineage: Eukaryota; Metazoa; Chordata; Mammalia; Rodentia; Sciuridae.
GGGGAUGUGGCUCAAGUGGUAGCGCGCUCGCCUAGCAUGCGUGCGGCCCGGGUUCGAUCCUCAGCAGCACCA